UCGAGAAUCUUUCGCAAUGCCCGAAAGGGUGACGAAGCGACGCCGCGUGUGGGAAGAAGGCCUUCGGGUUGUAAACCACUGUCGGGAGUUAAGAAAUGUAAGGGUAUUAAUAGUAUCCUUACUGACUAAGCUCCG
Molecule: ribosomal RNA, 135 nt
Filed under: uncultured Planctomycetota bacterium
Lineage: Bacteria; Pseudomonadati; Planctomycetota
Description: uncultured planctomycete partial 16S ribosomal RNA
Rfam family: Bacterial small subunit ribosomal RNA
Source: RNAcentral